GAAUUCCUUCAUGGCUCAGCAGGUUAAGGAUUUGGCCACUGGCCACUGUCACUGCUCUGGCUCUGUUUACAGCUGUCAGGGGGGUUUGAUCUCUGGCCAGGGAUCUUCCGCAUGCCACAGGUGCAGCCAAAAAAAAAAAAAAGGGGAAUUCAGAUUGUCAUACUUUUAAUGUUUGCUGAACUAGUGAGUGCAAAAUGAUAUCUUAGUUUUAAUUUGUAGUUCCUGAAUAAUUAAUUUGGUUGAGUAUUUAUUUAUUCAUGUGUUUGUUGGCUUUUCUAAUUUCCUUAUCUACAAAGUAAAUGCAGUUCAUAUCUCUCUUUACUUUCUUAGCCCUUUUAUAUCCACAUGUGGAUGAGGAGUUAAAGAUACAUGAGUAGCACUGAGGCAGAUGAAGAGGAAUGAGGCAGAAUGAGUGUUCCAAGAAGAGAAGACACCAUAUUUGAAAUGCCAGACAUCAGUGAGAAUGUGGGGUGUUUGAGAAACCAAGAGAAAUCCUAUGCAUUAUGAUGCUAAAAUGCAAGCUUUGAUUUUAAGACUUCUCCUGGUACAGACCAGGUUCUCCAGAAGAGAUGCUGGACAGAGUUUGGGUUGCAAGGUAUGUGCUGGGGUCAACAUUUUUGUAAGGAAGGGGAAGCAGAGGGAGAAAUCUUUCUGUGCUAUAGCCCUGACAGUUUCCAGCAACUCAGCUGGCUACAUUGGA
RNAcentral lists this long non-coding RNA (700 nucleotides) under Sus scrofa (pig). Its description in RNAcentral is "lncRNA (ENSSSCG00030024292.1, ENSSSCG00045008938.1, ENSSSCG00065000662.1)". Lineage: Eukaryota; Metazoa; Chordata; Mammalia; Artiodactyla; Suidae. The record is from RNAcentral.